UACAUUAAAAUACAUUAGUAUAUAUGAUAAAGAACUUGUCACAAACAUAGUGGAUCCUUCCCUAAUCAUAGAUGAAGAUUUAUUAGAGGAAGUAUGGGCGAUGGCUAUUGUUGCAAGAUCGUGCCUCAACCCCAAGCCUUCGAGGAGACCGUUAAUGAGAUAUAUCCUUAAAGCUUUGGAAAAUCCUUUGAAGGUAGUUAGGGAAGAACACACCAGCUCAGCAAGACUUAUGCCUCAACCCCAAGCCUUCAAGGAGACCGUUAAUGAGAUAUAUCCUUAAAGCUUUGGAAAAUCCUUUGAAGGUAGUUAGGGAAGAA
RNAcentral lists this long non-coding RNA (317 nucleotides) under Nicotiana benthamiana. RNAcentral's name for it is "long non-coding RNA (NBEN_LNC007673)". Lineage: Eukaryota; Viridiplantae; Streptophyta; Magnoliopsida; Solanales; Solanaceae. The record is from RNAcentral.